This is a long non-coding RNA of Rhincodon typus (whale shark), 309 nucleotides long. RefSeq lists it as uncharacterized. The transcript has 2 exons. The record is from RefSeq and is a predicted model, not a curated record. NCBI's taxonomy places the organism in Eukaryota, Metazoa, Chordata, Chondrichthyes, Orectolobiformes, Rhincodontidae.
CUGCUGUGUGCAACACCCUCCGUGCCAGAUCCCCGAGAGAAAAAGGGAGGACUCCUGCAGAGAGAGCCCUCAGCAGGGGAUCCCCACUGCCUGGUGGAUCAAUGGGAUAUUGACACUGAGGAUCAGCAUGUUUUUGCAUGUGGACGCAAAUCGUCUUGCAAGAGUUGAACAUAGAACCACAACCUCAACCUUGCAGGCCUAUAACUCAUGGCCUUUGAUGAUGAUGAUGGACUUAUGUUUUAUGCCUCAAAGAUAUGUAGAAAUGAUACAUCAGCUCUGAUUUCUAGAAUAGGAAUUGUAGUCAAUGCU